Molecule: ribosomal RNA, 253 nt
Filed under: uncultured bacterium
Lineage: Bacteria
Description: partial 16S ribosomal RNA
Rfam family: Bacterial small subunit ribosomal RNA
Source: RNAcentral
UACAGAGGGUGCGAGCGUUAAUCGGAAUUACUGGGCGUAAAGCGUGCGCAGGCGGCUUUGCAAGACAGAUGUGAAAUCCCCGGGCUCAACCUGGGAACUGCAUCCAAAACUGCUGAGCUAGAGUACGGCAGAGGGGGAUGGAAUUCCGCGUGUAGCAGUGAAAUGCGUAGAUAUGCGGAGGAACACCAAUGGCGAAGGCAAUCCCCUGGGCCUGUACUGACGCUCAUGCACGAAAGCGUGGGGAGCAAACAGG